CCCCAGUGGCUUUUCCAGAACUGCUACCUUCUCCGUGAAGCUCCAUGAGUUUUCCCAAUUCAAACUUGGGCUUCUUCAGCAUCUUCACUUUUCUAACGAAGACAUCAUGCAGAGGAUAAAUAGACUGGCAAGCCUUCUCUAUGUCUUUCCCAAUGCUGUCUGGGAUCAAUUUAUUGACUACUUCUUUCAAGUCAUUUGUUUGCACCUCCCGUGUCAUGAUUUCCAUCAUCUUCUUCCGGAUCUGGCGGACCUGCUGGUGCUGAGCAUAGGAAGUCUUCCGUAUCUGAUUGUUGCGUUUUUUGGUAAAACCAACACAGAACAGACGAAGCAAAUAGCCAUCGGUAGUCUUGACAUCAACAUGAGCUUCAAUCAUGGUCUGCCAUUUUUUGACCAUGGAGCACAUUUUGUCACAACAUCCUCCGUAAUCAGUUUGAAUUUUCUAAAUGCAACUUCAUUGUUCUGCAGGUCAGCAAGACUCACUUCAAAAACACGACCCUUGAGUCCAUCAGACACAAUUUUGGUUCCUUGGGUCCUCGUGACCAGUGUUUUCCCAAUAUUUCGUAUGUUGAACAUAGCAGGUGCCUUCACAUCAUACCAAUCUUUCUUAGAAAAUGGGUCCACCACUUUCUUCUUGGCUCCCUUUUUGCCGCCUUUCGUAAGGUGCUUGUUCUUGCCGACCGCCAUGGUGGUGCUCAGAGAGCCAAAAGGGCGCAUUAGUACUAUUAUGCAUUAUUGCCAUUAGUUUUUAAAAGGUUUAUUUAUUUAUUUAUCUGAAAAGCAGAGUUACAGAGAGAUGGGAAAGACACACACACAAACACACACAGUGAGCUUCAUCUGGGUUUCCCACAUGGGUGAUGGGGUCCAAGUACUUGGGCCAUCCUCUGUUGAUUUUUCCAGGCACAUUAGCAGGGAACUGGAUGGGAAAUGGAGCAGCUGGGACAUGAACUGGUGCCCAUAGGGAUGAUGGCAUUGCAUAACCAUGGCCCCACCAAAUUGUGGUUUUCUAAUCCUGCUGUUACUUCUAGUUGCUAGUUAGCAAUCUACUAUAGGUAAGUUCUAUCCUUUCUUGCCAAUUUGUUUAUUUGUAUCUCUACAAAUAGCUGUGUUUUGUGCAAAGAGACGUACUCUGUUAAUAUUUAG
This 1140-nucleotide long non-coding RNA is filed under the name Oryctolagus cuniculus (rabbit). Its description in RNAcentral is "lncRNA (ENSOCUG00000031659.1)". Lineage: Eukaryota; Metazoa; Chordata; Mammalia; Lagomorpha; Leporidae. The record is from RNAcentral.